CGGGUGAUGGCCGCCGGCAGCCACUUCGUGGCAGGUGAACCUGUCCUGCCCGCGUGUCAGCUCUGGGGAACAGCCCUGGGGAUCAUCCCUUCAUUGCUGGAGGACAACCCCUUGGUUGCCACCUGAUACGCGCUGCCCUGCUCGCGUCAGAGCAGUGACGAUGACGCACCCG
Streptomyces albireticuli is the source of this 172-nucleotide small RNA. It matches the Rfam family "gntR-DTE RNA". The record is from Rfam. NCBI's taxonomy places the organism in Bacteria, Bacillati, Actinomycetota, Actinomycetes, Kitasatosporales, Streptomycetaceae.